RNAcentral lists this unclassified non-coding RNA (409 nucleotides) under uncultured Sebacina. RNAcentral's name for it is "sequence contains ITS2". The stretch from base 1 to 154 matches the Rfam family "5.8S ribosomal RNA". Lineage: Eukaryota; Fungi; Basidiomycota; Agaricomycetes; Sebacinales; Sebacinaceae. The record is from RNAcentral.
AACUUUUAACAAUGGAUCACUUGGCUCUUGCAUCGAUGAAGAACGCAGCGAAAUGCGAUAAGUAAUGUGAAUUGCAGAAUUCAGUGAAUCAUUGAAUCUUUGAACGCACCUUGCACCCUUUGGUAUUCCAAAGGGUAUGCUUGUUUGAGUGUCAUUAUACUCUCACACUCUCUCUAAUUAGAGAGAGCGGUGGACUUGGGUGUUGCCUGAUAUUUACUGUCAGGCUCAUCUAAAAUCAGUUAGUGCGACUCCUAGUUAAACAUAGUAUGGCAUGAUAAGUAAACCCUCGCUGUUUUCUGUCUGAUUAGGAGCUCUGUGCUUCAAACCGUCCUCGGACAAUGUCUGAUAACUUGGCCUCAAAUCGAGUAGGAUUACCUGCUGAACUUAAGCAUAUCAAUAAGCGGAGGCU